UUCUCGUUUCUUUUUACCAACUUUUAAGUAUUUGACGUUUUUAGAAGAUGACUUUAUUUUUUACCUAAAAUUAGAUUUUUCUUGACUGUAAAAACAAGUGUUUCUGCCGGCUCUUCCUGCCGUUCCUGCCGCGGAAUCCUUCGGACAAUAUCGAGAUCAACGAUUUAAAACUGAAGAACUCCGGAAAAAUUUGUUUUGGUCGGUCACGGGUUUGCUCGCUGGCAUUCGGACGAUGAUCAGCCGCCCUUAACGUGGGGAACAGACGCUCCUAACAUGACGAACAGACGAUCGAUCAGGUUAACACCUCCGGAGAAAAGUAACGUCCCUCCCUGUAAGCAUACAACCACAGUUCCCACCGGGGUUAGUUACCUGACCUUUCUAACGCUUCCAAGAUGCUCGAUCAGGGUAACACUUCCGGAGAGGAGCAAAUCGAUCACACCCCCUCCCUGUCAGCAUACGACCGUAGUUCCCACCGGGGUUAGUUACCUGAUUUUCCCAAAGAUUGCUCGUAUCCCGGCCAGCACCACGGGGAGGUAGGGUAGAGGCUGGGUAAGAGGCUUAAGACCCAGCAUUUGCAAUGCCAUACAACAGGGACCAUAAUCCGGCGGAAAAUUUAGCUGGUUUCUACAUUCGUCUCAAUAAAAAUAAAAAUAAAUGAAUUUAUUGAAGAA
Molecule: long non-coding RNA, 671 nt
Organism: Armigeres subalbatus
Lineage: Eukaryota; Metazoa; Arthropoda; Insecta; Diptera; Culicidae
Exons: 2
Source: RefSeq, a predicted model, not a curated record